RNAcentral lists this ribosomal RNA (375 nucleotides) under uncultured organism. RNAcentral describes it as "partial 16S ribosomal RNA". It matches the Rfam family "Bacterial small subunit ribosomal RNA", at positions 527 to 896 of the family's 1533-position model. The record is from RNAcentral.
GUAGGUGGCAAGCGUUGUCCGGAAUUAUUGGGCGUAAAGCGCGCGCAGGUGGUUCUUUAAGUCUGAUGUGAAAGCCCCAGGCUCAACCGGGGAGGGUCAUUGGAAACUGGGGAACCUGAGUGCAGGAGAGGAAAGUGGAAUUCCACGUGUAGCGGUGAAGUGCGUAGAUAUGUGGAGGAACACCAGUAGCGAAGGCGACUUUUCUGGCCUGUAACUGACACUGAGGCGCGAAAGCGUGGGGAGCAAACAGGGAUUAGAUACCCUGGUAGUCCACGCCGUAAACGAUGAGUGCUAAGUGUUGGGGGGGGUUUCCGCCCCCUCAGUGCUGCAGCUAACGCAUUAAGCACUCCGCCUGGGAGUACGGUCGCAAGACUG